RNAcentral lists this RNase P RNA (217 nucleotides) under Boseongicola sp. RNAcentral describes it as "RNase P RNA component class A". It matches the Rfam family "Bacterial RNase P class A", at positions 20 to 238 of the family's 367-position model. Rfam says of the family: Ribonuclease P (RNase P) is a ubiquitous endoribonuclease, found in archaea, bacteria and eukarya as well as chloroplasts and mitochondria. Its best characterised activity is the generation of mature 5'-ends of tRNAs by cleaving the 5'-leader elements of precursor-tRNAs. Cellular RNase Ps are ribonucleoproteins. Lineage: Bacteria; Pseudomonadati; Pseudomonadota; Alphaproteobacteria; Rhodobacterales; Paracoccaceae. The record is from RNAcentral.
CUUCGGUUGCUCGAAAGAGUAGCCAGGGAGGAAAGUCCGGACUCCAUGAAACAACGGUGCCGGGUAAUGCCCGGCCGGGGAAACCCGAGGGAAAGCGCCACAGAGAACAGACGUCCCCGCCUGCGGGGUCACGGUGAAACGGUGGGGUAAGAGCCCACCGCGGGACUGGCAACAGGACCGGCANNNNNNNNNNAUCCAGGGCUUGACCGUUCAGGGU